UACGAGGACCCCGAGCGUAUCCGGAAUUACUGGGCGUAAAGCGUGCGCAGGCGGUUAUGUAAGACAGUUGUGAAAUCCCCCGGGCUCAACCUGGGAACUGCAUCUGUGACUGCAUAGCUAGAGUACGGUAGAGGGGGAUGGAAUUCCGCGUGUAGCAGUGAAAUGCGUAGAUAUGCGGAGGAACACCGAUGGCGAAGGCAAUCCCCUGGGCCUGGCACUGACGCUCAUGCACGAAGCGUGGGGAGCAACAGG
Molecule: ribosomal RNA, 252 nt
Filed under: uncultured bacterium
Lineage: Bacteria
Description: partial 16S ribosomal RNA
Rfam family: Bacterial small subunit ribosomal RNA
Source: RNAcentral